RNAcentral lists this long non-coding RNA (486 nucleotides) under Mytilus galloprovincialis (Mediterranean mussel). Lineage: Eukaryota; Metazoa; Mollusca; Bivalvia; Mytilida; Mytilidae. The record is from RNAcentral.
GUGAAUUCAAUCCAAGCUGAUCAUGUAGAUUCAAAAUAUGAUGUUUCACUUCUAACAUGAAGUAGCGCAAUUUUACACACAAGCGGAAGCAACAAUUAAUGUCCCAAUAUUCAUACAAAGAACAAGAAGUAUUCCUCAAUUUAGUUUUGAAUUGCGCAGUGUUCCGGUGUGUUUGAUGAGAUAAAUUCCAGUCAUUCGAAUGAACCUAAAUGUUUCAAAUGAAACAGGACAUAUUGUCCACUAAAGUUAUGUAAAAUCCGUCUUCAUUUGAAUACUUUCUUGUCGAGGGGUACCAUAAUAGAUUUUAACUAUGUAUCCUAAAACUAUUUUAUAAUUUCCAAAGUGAAUUUCAUUUGAAACAUCCUUAUUCCUGAACAACCGACGAAGAACUGCGGCCAAAUUUAAUAUGUAAAGAAAAUUAAUACAGAUAUAAAGGAUUAAACACAGUGUAGGAAAAAAUAUAUCAUGUUUUAGUGCUAGGACGUU